RNAcentral lists this ribosomal RNA (845 nucleotides) under Lactiplantibacillus plantarum. RNAcentral describes it as "bacterial SSU rRNA". It matches the Rfam family "Bacterial small subunit ribosomal RNA", at positions 56 to 870 of the family's 1533-position model. Lineage: Bacteria; Bacillati; Bacillota; Bacilli; Lactobacillales; Lactobacillaceae. The record is from RNAcentral.
UGCAGUCGACGACUCUGGUAUUGAUUGGUGCUUGCAUCAUGAUUUACAUUUGAGUGAGUGGCGAACUGGUGAGUAACACGUGGGAAACCUGCCCAGAAGCGGGGGAUAACACCUGGAAACAGAUGCUAAUACCGCAUAACAACUUGGACCGCAUGGUCCGAGUUUGAAAGAUGGCUUCGGCUAUCACUUUUGGAUGGUCCCGCGGCGUAUUAGCUAGAUGGUGGGGUAACGGCUCACCAUGGCAAUGAUACGUAGCCGACCUGAGAGGGUAAUCGGCCACAUUGGGACUGAGACACGGCCCAAACUCCUACGGGAGGCAGCAGUAGGGAAUCUUCCACAAUGGACGAAAGUCUGAUGGAGCAACGCCGCGUGAGUGAAGAAGGGUUUCGGCUCGUAAAACUCUGUUGUUAAAGAAGAACAUAUCUGAGAGUAACUGUUCAGGUAUUGACGGUAUUUAACCAGAAAGCCACGGCUAACUACGUGCCAGCAGCCGCGGUAAUACGUAGGUGGCAAGCGUUGUCCGGAUUUAUUGGGCGUAAAGCGAGCGCAGGCGGUUUUUUAAGUCUGAUGUGAAAGCCUUCGGCUCAACCGAAGAAGUGCAUCGGAAACUGGGAAACUUGAGUGCAGAAGAGGACAGUGGAACUCCAUGUGUAGCGGUGAAAUGCGUAGAUAUAUGGAAGAACACCAGUGGCGAAAGGCGGCUGUCUGGUCUGUAACUGACGCUGAGGCUCGAAAGUAUGGGUAGCAAACAGGAUUAGAUACCCUGGUAGUCCAUACCGUAACGAUGAAUGCUAAGUGUUGAGGGUUUCCGCCCUUCAGUGCUGCAGCUAACGCAUAAGCAUUCC